Non-coding RNA from Coturnix japonica (Japanese quail), 4039 nucleotides. NCBI's taxonomy places the organism in Eukaryota, Metazoa, Chordata, Aves, Galliformes, Phasianidae. The record is from RefSeq and is a predicted model, not a curated record.
GCUGCCGCGGGGGAGGGGCGCGCAGACCGGCCGCACCGCCGAGCCCUACCGGCCGCCCCUCCCCCGCGCGGCGUGGGGCUGAGAGCGGGAGGCGGCGGAGCAGCCAAUCCCGGGCCAGGGGCCGCAUUCUCGUUAUCAGAUGGUUGACAUUCGACUAGGCCAAGUCCUUCCCAUCUCCCACAACCUUCCUUCCUCACCCAGUAACUGCCAAGAGAGAAGGGUGAGUGGUGAAGGCACUGCAGAGGAUGGAGACGGGCCUCGUUCUCCUGAAGGAAUGCAUCAGUUGCUGACAAAUUCAGUCCUGAAUGGCAAAUGUUUUCUUGGGCAUAAACAGCUCAACUUCCUAAUUUAAUAAUGACAGAUAUUACCUCAAAGUGAUGAAAAUACUGUCUGGCGUGUAUGGAGGUGCUGGCUGAGGACUCCAGUGACCAGUGCAUGGAGAGAAACUUGGUGGGAGAGCCAUGGCCUGCCCCACUGUGCCGUGCACAGGCAGCCAUGCUCAGAGGCCUGCAGUACAAGUGUAUUUCUAGGUACAUCAGCCCCUGGUACAACAGCGCAGCAGUGCUGAAAUGCUGUCAACCACAGCAGCUAGUGGUGUACAAAUAGGUUGGAAAAGCAGCGAGCAGCUUCAUGGUGUGUCAUACAGUGUUUGCUCCUGUUUGCUAGGUCUCGCCAGUGUGCUGAUGGGAAUGUUUUUCUGUUUAAUUUCCCUGCCGUCUGAAAGAGGUGUUUGACAACCCAUGGUGUACGCAAUAUGCCACUGUGGCAGUCCUGGAGCCCCAGUUCUACUCAGCCACUAGGCAGAGCGCUCCACUGGCAGCAGGGAUGGAUCUUCCUGCUGCUCACCUUAUGCUCUUAAUUGUCUUCUGCUUCUGUGCCCAUUUAAUCCCAGGCUUCUCUGCUGGACUGCCACCAGCUCAGGUGUAUUUUGGUAAUGCCUGCUCACUGCGAAAUGGACAAAAUGCUGUAAAAAGCCAAUUUACGUGAGCCACCAACAAUGUCAGUUUAGACACCAACCUGUGUCUGACUGUGAGGUUGCACAAGAAGUGAAGAGGCUUUAAAUCCUUCUGCUCUCUGAAGGUAAUUUUAGUGGUCUUCCAUUCGAAAUCAUUAAUUGCUUCAUUCAGUUUCUGAUGGAGCGUUGGGCAAAAAUGUUCAAAUUCAUCUGUGAAACAUACAGCUGGACAUAUUUAUAUAAGCCCACUAUGUUUAACAGUACUGUUACUUAUUUAAAACUUCUCAGCUGUGUGUGGGAGUUGCACAUUCAAGAACUUAAUUCAUAUCCAGAUAUAGAAAACAAGUGUGAGUUUCUGCCAGGGUAAUAAUAUACGCUGAUUGUUUCUUUCCUCUUCUAUGAAUUCUCUCUCCAUCUUUAUAGAGCAUGCAGUCCUCUUCAGGAACUACAGCUGUGCCUGGAUUUAAAUAAUUAAACUGAAUUAAAUAUAACCACCAGAGUUUGUAAAAAAUAAAAUUGCACACAUAUUUCACAAAACAUUAAGUCAGCUUUUGUUAAACGAAACAAAAGAAAACAAACAAAAAAAACCCCACCACUUUGUUGUUGUUGUUUAGAUAAGGUGCUUUAUGUAAGUAACUCUGCUACAGACUAAGGCCAAGGUUGAGAGCUUCAGCUGCUACUGUUAAAAACAGUGACAGUAGAUCUAGAAUUUCCCACCAUAAUGAGCUAUACUGGUGUUUUAAUAAAGUUACCAAUAUUUAAUCUCAUGAACCAUUGAUCAUUCUGAUCGAAUAACAAAUAACCCAUCCUUAUCAUAAUAUAUACAGAUGCCUCUCUGUAACUCAUGUCCUCCCUCAUGAACUCUCCAAGGCACCUGUGUUAUACAUGGCAUUGUUGUAGCUUUUAUUGGUGUGAAAUUGUUCUUUGGCAAAGUUUGCUGCAAAUUGCCCAAUGCAUUUACCAAUGCAGCUGGGUAACAGAUGGGUGUGGGAAAUUUAUAGCAACUAUUGUUCCAAUGAUGGAUCUGCCAUAGCUGUAAGAUUAGUUUCAGUGUAAGGCACUAUUUCACUUACAGUUUUAGCCAUCAAAAAUAAAAGCCUAGCCAAAGAUCACUGAAACUAUAGAUAGCUGGACGCGGCUCCUGAAGACAUGUUGCACAGACAAGAUACAACUGUCUAUGCAAACUAAGAAAAUACCAGUAGUUAUCCCUGGGAUUUAGAAGUGCUAUAAAUAUCAAGACAGUAUUUAGAUUACAGCUUCAACAGAGUCCCCAGCAACAUUAAUUCCCAGGGAUGUUAUCCCAGUUACCCUGUAAUUACAGAUUAAGUGCACAAAGUACAAAAUAUAGAGUUACAUAAUGAGUCUUUCAAGUGAUACUCUGCAAGUGAUCCCAGUGAAAGUUUAAACAAAUUCUUUAUACACGACUUCACAUCAGACACAAAGUCCAAAAUUCUCUCACUGAAAUUUCAGUUCUUGCCUUGGAAUAGUAAUGUGAGUAAACACUGAGUAAAAUAAACUGAAGCCCUCUUUGAAUCUGUAUCUUUUGAGAGUUCAUAUGAGCUAAGCAACACAUAUGAAGUUGCUCAGAGUGUUUACUGCUGGUUUUCCCCAUUCUUACUGUUUGUUACAUUUGUGUCUUUCAACUUUUCUGAUUAGACUGAAAGGCCUCCAGAGUAAACACCUCUCAUUAAAUGCUGAGGUACAGGAACAGUGGAUCUUAACUUGGUUGGAAUUGGAACUUUUGGACAUCACUGCGAUGCAAACAGUAAAUAAAAACUACUGGAAGUCACAAUCACCCAAAAGACACAAAGUGACAUUGGGUAGACUUUUCUGUAAUUAGUGCAUAUUGCAGUUUUGCCAUUUAUUUUAGGGAUACUCUGCAAUUUAUAUUUGUCCAUGAUCCCUUCAAAGUUACAACUUCCUUAAUGUAUUAUGCCUAUCUCCUGUAUUUUAAGAGAAGUUAAUUAAAUCAUCUCUGUUCAGUUUAAUGUUGAAACAGUGAAAAACUGGCACUAACUAAAUAUUGUGUUGUGCCAUAGAAAGAAGUUCUAUCUAUGCUGGACUCUAUUAUUUUCAAAUAGUAAAAUAUCGAAUAUAGCAGUGAACAUAAAUGUAUUAUGUAACAAAAGUUUUACAGUAUUACGCAAGUAGCAGUAGGAAACCUUUGUAACACCACAACCUGUUUUGUAUAUACUGUAUUCCAGAAAUGGUUAGGAAUAUUUUAGAGUUAUUUUUAAACAUUUAAUUGUGACUUUUUGUUUGUAUUUCUCUUCCUUGGUUACCAUGGAUGAGCUCCUGAAUUCUGGCUGAGGAGCAGUUGGCAUGGUGUUUCGUAAGGAGAAGAAAAGACAAAAAGGUGAAGUUAAGGCACCUUCACACUUCCCUGAUUUGGACUGCUUUGCUCCUGGACAGUUUCCUUAGCACUGACUUUAAGCUAUGCUGCAGCCUCUUAGCCUAAGAGCCUGUUUUGACAGCUGAUGCCCUCACAUAAAUCCUGCUCUGGUCAAAACAAACAGAAAGUAAUAAAAACUGCAGCCAUGUCGUGUGAGGACAGGGACCUCUGUGGAUUGUUGCCAUCAAUCCCUCACUCAGGAGAUCCUGCAGAGCUUCUUCUGGCCCUGCUAAAGGCAGAGUUAAACAUGAAGUUGUCAAAGGUGUGCAUAAAACGAGCUAUUUAUAUUUUUUGCCAUUAACGCCUACCAGCUGCCCUUAGAAAGAUUUUUAUAUCCAAAAAGUGUAACAAUUAAUGCUGCUGAGGGCUUUUGUGUCCAGAGACCAGAAAUAGCUGUUCUAUCAGAAGUCAACUGUGCUAGCCCUGUAAUAGCUCCAUAGUAUCUCUGUGGUAGUUAAAUUGCUCUUCUGAAGUCUGUUGUGCUGUAUCCUGCAGGAAGAUUAUCAUUCCUCUCUCUUUACUGGGAGGAAAGUUUGUUUAAAAUUAGCAAUGCUGGUGUUUUUAAACUAAUGAAAACCCAUAGAAAUGAAUUCUGGAGAACCAAGUUGAUGAACAUGUAGUGUUAUGGGUUUUUUUGGUUUUAUCUGUCCUUGGUUCUCAGGAAAACAAUAAAACUAAAGUAAUAAUUUAAA